CCUACGGGAGGCAGCAGUGAGGAAUAUUGGUCAAUGGGCGAGAGCCUGAACCAGCCAAGUCGCGUGAGGGAGUACUGCCCUAUGGGUUGUAAACCUCUUUUGUCGGGGAGCAAAAGCCGGACGUGUCCGGCUGUGAGAGUACCCGAAGAAAAAGCAUCGGCUAACUCCGUGCCAGCAGCCGCGGUAAUUCGGAGGAUGCGAGCGUUAUCCGGAUUUAUUGGGGUUAAAGGGUGCGCAGGCGGAUUUUUAAGUCAGCGGUCAAAUCGUGGGGCUCAACCCCAUCCAGCCGUUGAAACUGGGGAUCUAGAGUGUGCGAGAGGUAUGCGGAAUGCGUGGUGUAGCGGUGAAAUGCAUAGAUAUCACGCAGAACCCCGAUUGCGAAGGCAGCAUACCGGUGCACAACUGACGCUCAGGCACGAAAGCGUGGGUAUCGAACAGGAUUAGAUACCCGGGUAGUC
RNAcentral lists this ribosomal RNA (458 nucleotides) under uncultured bacterium. RNAcentral's name for it is "partial 16S ribosomal RNA". It matches the Rfam family "Bacterial small subunit ribosomal RNA", at positions 338 to 795 of the family's 1533-position model. The record is from RNAcentral.